This 747-nucleotide ribosomal RNA is filed under the name uncultured cyanobacterium. RNAcentral describes it as "bacterial SSU rRNA". It matches the Rfam family "Bacterial small subunit ribosomal RNA", at positions 8 to 796 of the family's 1533-position model. The record is from RNAcentral. Lineage: Bacteria; Bacillati; Cyanobacteriota.
AGAGUUUGAUCCUGGCUCAGGAUGAACGCUGGCGGUCUGCUUAACACAUGCAAGUCGAACGAAUCCUUUCGGGGAUUAGUGGCGGACGGGUGAGUAACGCGUGAGAAUCUGCCAAAAGGACUGGGACAACCACUGGAAACGGUGGCUAAUACCAGAUGUGCCGCAACGUAAAAGAGGAAACUCGCCUUUUGAGGAGCUCGCGUCUGAUUAGCUAGUUGGUGAGGUAAAAGCUCACCAAGGCAACGAUCAGUAGCUGGUCUGAGAGGACGACCAGCCGCACUGGGACUGAGACACGGCCCAGACUCCUACGGGAGGCAGCAGUGGGGAAUUUUCCGCAAUGGGCGCAAGCCUGACGGAGCAAUACCGCGUGGGGGAGGAAGGCUCUUGGGUCGUAAACCUCUUUUCUCAGGGAAGAAUAAAUGACGGUACCUGAGGAAUCAGCAUCGGCUAACUCCGUGCCAGCAGCCGCGGUAAUACGGAGGAUGCAAGCGUUAUCCGGAAUGAUUGGGCGUAAAGCGUCCGCAGGUGGCAGUGUAAGUCUGCUGUCAAAGGUCAGGGCUCAACCCUGAACAGGCAGUGGAAACUACACAGCUAGAGUGCGGUGGGGGCAGAGGGAAUUCCCAGUGUAGCGGUGAAAUGCGUAGAGAUUGGGAAGAACACCGGUGGCGAAAGCGCUCUGCUAGGCCGCAACUGACACUCAUGGACGAAAGCUAGGGGAGCGAAUGGGAUUAGAUACCCCGGUAGUCC